This 406-nucleotide ribosomal RNA is filed under the name uncultured bacterium. RNAcentral describes it as "partial 16S ribosomal RNA". It matches the Rfam family "Bacterial small subunit ribosomal RNA", at positions 30 to 525 of the family's 1533-position model. The record is from RNAcentral.
AUUGAACGCUGGCGGCAGGCUUAACACAUGCAAGUCGAACGGAGUGGCGGACGGGUGAGUAACGCGUAGGUAACUGCCUGGUAGCGGGGGAUAACUAUUGGAAACGAUAGCUAAUACCGCAUACUACCAGAUGGACCUGCGUUGUAUUAGCUAGUGGGUGGGGUAACGGCUCACCAAGGCAACGAUACAUAGCCGACCUGAGAGUGUGAGCGGCCACACUGGUACUGAGACACGGCCCAGACUCCUACGGGAGGCAGAAGGAGGGAAUCUUCGGCAAGGGACGAAAGUCUGACCGAGCAACGCCGCGUGAGUGAAGAAGGUUUUCGGAUCGUAAAACUCUGUUGUUAGAGAAGCGGUAUCUAACCAGAAAGCCACGGCUAACUACGUGCCAGCAGCCGCGGUAAUA